AGAGUUCGAUCCUGGCAGGAGGACGCUGGCGGGCAUGCUUAACACAGCAAGUCGAACGGGAAGUGGUGUUCCAGUGGCGAACGGGUGAUAACGCGUAAGAAGAACCUGCCCUUGGGAGGGGAACAACAACUGGAAACGGUUGCUAAUACCCGUAGGCUGAGGAGCAAAAGAGAAAUCCGCCCAACGUGAGGGGCUCGCGUUGAUAGCUAGUUGUGAGGCACUAGCUAACAAGGCGAUGAUCAUGUGAGCUGGUCCGAGAGGAUGAUCAGCCACACUGGGACUGAGACACGGCCCAGGACUCCUACGGGAGGCAGCAGUGGGGAAUUUUCCGCAAAUGGCGAAAGCCGACGGAGCAAUGCCGCGUGGAGGUGGAAGGCCUACGGGUCGUCAACUUCUUUUCUCGGAGAAGAAACAAUGACGGUAUCUGAGGAAUAAGCAUCGGCUAACUCUGUGCCAGCAGCCGCGGUAAGACAGAGGAUGCAAGCGUUAUCCGGAAUGAUUGGGGUUAAAGAGUCUGGGGUGGCUUUGCAAGUCCGCAGUCAAAUCCCAGGGAUCAACCCUGGACAGGCGGUGGAAAACUUACCAAGCUGGGUAAGGUAGGGGAGAGGGAAUUUCGGUGGAGCGUGACAGCUUGAGAUGAAAGAACACCAAAAGGCGAAGCAACUCUGCUGGGCCGACCACAUGCCACUAGAGACAAGCUAGGGGAGCAAAUGGGAUUAGAGACCCCAGUAGUCCUAGCCGUAAAGAUGGAUACUAGGUGCUGUGCCGACUGAACCCAGUUGCAGUGCUGUAGCAACGCGUAAGUAUCCCGCCUGGGGAGUACGUUCGCAAGAAUGAAACUCAAAGGAAUUGACGGGGGCCCGCACAAGCGGGAGGCAUGUGUUUAAUUCGAUGCAAGCGAGACCUUACCAGGGAUGAGAUGCCGCGAAUCUCUGAAGAGAAGGGGGCCCUCGGGCACGCGGACACAGGUGGUGCAUGGCUGUCGUCAGAUCGGCGUAAGGUGUUGCGGUUAAGUCUCGCAACGAGCGAACCCUCGUGUUUAGUUGCCACUAUGAGUUUGGAAACCUGAACAGGGACGCCGGUGUUAAGCCGGAGGAAGGAGAGGAUGAGGCCAAGUCAUCAUGCCCCUUAUGCCCUGGGCGACACACGUGAUACAUGGGGGGACAAAGGGUCCGCGAUCUAGCGAGGGUGAGCUAACUCCAAAAACCCGUCCUCAGUUCGGAUGCCAGCUGCCAAUCGCUGCAUGAAGCAGGAAUCGCUAGAUCGCCGGUCAGCCAUACGGGGUGAAUCCGUUCCGGGCCUUGUACACACCGCCCGUCACACUAUAGGAGCGGCCAGGUUUGAAGUUCAUUACCUUAACCGUAAGGAGGGGGAUGCCUAAGGAUAGGCUUGCGAGGAGUGAAGUGUAACAAGGUCAGCCGUACUGGAAGGUGGCGCUG
This 1439-nucleotide ribosomal RNA is filed under the name Saccharum spontaneum (wild sugarcane). RNAcentral's name for it is "bacterial SSU rRNA". It matches the Rfam family "Bacterial small subunit ribosomal RNA". The record is from RNAcentral. Lineage: Eukaryota; Viridiplantae; Streptophyta; Magnoliopsida; Poales; Poaceae.